GACAGAGGAUGCAAGCGUUAUCCGGAAUGAUUGGGCGUAAAGCGUCUAUAGGUGGCUCUUCAAGUCCACCGUCAAAUCCCAGGGCUCAACCCUGGACAGGCGGUGGAAACUACCAAGCUGGAGUACGGUAGGGGCAGAGGGAAUUCCCAGUGUAGCGGUGAAAUGCGUAGAUAUUGGGAGGAACACCAGUGGCGAAGGCGGCUCACUGGACCGGUUCUGACGCUGAAGCGCGAAAGCGUGGGGAGCAAACGGG
Molecule: ribosomal RNA, 253 nt
Filed under: uncultured bacterium
Lineage: Bacteria
Description: partial 16S ribosomal RNA
Rfam family: Bacterial small subunit ribosomal RNA
Source: RNAcentral